AAUAAACCCUGAGUUUUCAUGUCCAACGUUAAACCGUUCGUCUUAUUUGAAAAAGUUAUGAAAAAAAAUUAAAAAGGCAAGUCACGCAUAAAGUAUUAAUUAUGUUUUAUUAUCUAACAACAAUAAAAAUACUAAUUAUAAAAAAUUCCAUUAAGACGGGCAGUCAAACGUUAAACACGGAAACCUAGAGUUUGUUUUUUU
Non-coding RNA from Oryza barthii, 201 nucleotides. Lineage: Eukaryota; Viridiplantae; Streptophyta; Magnoliopsida; Poales; Poaceae. The record is from Rfam.